GGGCGUAGAGGGCUCGCAGGCGGUUUCUUAAGUCUGAUGUGAAAGCCCCCGGCUCAACCGGGGAGGGUCAUUGGAAACUGGGGAACUUGAGUGCAGAAGAGGAGAGUGGAAUUCCACGUGUAGCGGUGAAAUGCGUAGAGAUGUGGAGGAACACCAGUGGCGAAGGCGACUCUCUGGUCUGUAACUGACGCUGAGGAGCGAAAGCGUGGGGAGCGAACAGGAUUAGAUACCCUGGUAGUCCACGCCGUAAACGAUGAGUGCUAAGUGUUAGGGGGUUUCCGCCCCUUAGUGCUGCAGCUAACGCAUUAAGCACUCCGCCUGGGGAGUACGGUCGCAAGACUGAAACUCAAAGGAAUUGACGGGGGCCCGCACAAGCGGUGGAGCAUGUGGUUUAAUUCGAAGCAACGCGAAGAACCUUACCAGGUCUUGACAUCCUCUGACAAUCCUAGAGAUAGGACGUCCCCUUCGGGGGCAGAGUGACAGGUGGUGCAUGGUUGUCGUCAGCUCGUGUCGUGAGAUGUUGGGUUAAGUCCCGCAACGAGCGCAACCCUUGAUCUUAGUUGCCAGCAUUCAGUUGGGCACUCUAAGGUGACUGCCGGUGACAAACCGGAGGAAGGUGGGGAUGACGUCAAAUCAUCAUGCCCCUUAUGACCUGGGCUACACACGUGCUACAAUGGACAGAACAAAGGGCAGCGAAACCGCGAGGUUAAGCCAAUCCCACAAAUCUGUUCUCAGUUCGGAUCGCAGUCUGCAACUCGACUGCGUGAAGCUGGAAUCGCUAGUAAUCGCGGAUCACAUGC
This 800-nucleotide ribosomal RNA is filed under the name Bacillus subtilis. RNAcentral describes it as "bacterial SSU rRNA". It matches the Rfam family "Bacterial small subunit ribosomal RNA", at positions 556 to 1357 of the family's 1533-position model. Lineage: Bacteria; Bacillati; Bacillota; Bacilli; Caryophanales; Bacillaceae. The record is from RNAcentral.